CAGAGAGGGGGGCGGCCCGCGGGUCCCCGGCAUGGCGGGCAGCCCGCGGGCAGCCGAGGAGCAUCGCGGGCGAACACCACACCGGGAGCUCCGGCACCGAGCGGCCGCUGAUCCCACCCCCUCCGCUACGUGCGGGGCGGGGCCGCCCUGAGGGGCGGUGCUGGGGCUGCAGUGUUCCGUCAGCGCGGGGACCCACUGUGCCGCGUCCACACACGUCCGGGGACGGUGACCCGGCACCUCCCUGAGCAUCACCGCUCUUUCAGAGAAGUUUUUCCCAACACCUGACUGGAUUAAGUGCGGAAAACACGUCGGGACCGCCUCACAGAGGAUUUCAUGCCAGCACCAACGUGGCCGUGCCUUGAUUUCAGAGAGGCAGGUGCUGAGGCUGUUCCGUGUGUCGCUUCACUCAUACACAAGUUUCUUCAGAAGUUGCUGAGUUUGCUGAAAAAUAUGACUUCAGCCACUCGUGCCCUACGGACGAACUGUGCUGCAAUGAGAAACUUACAGCCACCUCAGCAG
RNAcentral lists this long non-coding RNA (519 nucleotides) under Gallus gallus (chicken). Its description in RNAcentral is "long non-coding RNA NONGGAT008331". The record is from RNAcentral. Lineage: Eukaryota; Metazoa; Chordata; Aves; Galliformes; Phasianidae.